This 253-nucleotide ribosomal RNA is filed under the name uncultured bacterium. Its description in RNAcentral is "partial 16S ribosomal RNA". It matches the Rfam family "Bacterial small subunit ribosomal RNA", at positions 524 to 776 of the family's 1533-position model. The record is from RNAcentral.
UACGUAGGGUGCGAGCGUUGUCCGGAAUUAUUGGGCGUAAAGAGCUUGUAGGUGGUUUGUCGCGUCUGCUGUGAAAAUCCGAGGCUCAACCUCGGACUUGCAGUGGGUACGGGCAGACUAGAGUGUGGUAGGGGAGACUGGAAUUCCUGGUGUAGCGGUGGAAUACGCAGAUAUCAGGAGGAACACCGAUGGCGAAGGCAGGUCUCUGGGCAUUAACUGACGCUGAGGAGCGAAAGCAUGGGGAGCGAACAGG